UUAACUCAAAUUUGUAUGCAGUUGGAAUGUUUCCCUAGGUUUGCCGCUAGGGGCGCUGUUUCAACUGUUUAUCAAAUUUGAGUUA
RNAcentral lists this microRNA precursor (85 nucleotides) under Bombyx mori (domestic silkworm). Its description in RNAcentral is "mir-2807 microRNA precursor family". It matches the Rfam family "mir-2807 microRNA precursor family". Lineage: Eukaryota; Metazoa; Arthropoda; Insecta; Lepidoptera; Bombycidae. The record is from Rfam by way of RNAcentral.